ACUCGGUGACACGCCUGAACCUCCACCAGCUUAAGAUUUGCCUUCAGAUCCUGCCUUCGCUUUGUAAUAGGUCUUAAAUACCUCCAGAAUCCCACGCAAGCUUUAAUUCCUGAUUAGAUGAAGGUGAUAAGGUGUUUUAAUAGUAGUAUUCACUUAAAAAUCAGAUGAAAAAUGGCCAUAGACAAACAUUUAAGAAGUUGUGUAUAAGAGAAUUCAGUUCUGUUACUUAAAGAUUCUGAAUCUAUUGUGUCCAAUAAUUUACUUGAAAAGCAGUGAAUUAAGAACAUAAAAUACUUAGCCUUAACUAAAUAUAAUAAAACACUUUAAAAACACCUAAAAACACGUGAAGCAGGUAUAAAACAUGUGAAAUAAUCUUAAAACAACGGGAUCAAUAAGUCUAGCAUAGGUUUCAGCCGAGAAUUAAAUAUAAAACACUCAAAACACAUUAAAACACAUGGAUUAAAUACUGGAAGCCCUCAUAUUUAACUAAACAUACUAAAACACCGAGAAAAACGAGAAAUGAGCUAAAAAAACAACAGGAUCAAGAAUUCUUUCAUUGGUUUUAUCCGAAGAUUCAGUCAUCUAUUGCGUCGCUUUGUUAAGGGACGACUCAAAGGAGGCGAGGAGGAAGUACAGCAAGGUGGUGUGGGGAUUUGUCACCUCUGGACCAAAUGAGGCUCUUGUCAUAUCGGGUGUGAAGUGAGCGGCUUCCGCUUCGCCAUCCCGUGAACGGCCCGCAGGAAUGAAUCUCUGCCAACACCUGCUUCAGCACUGCUGGCAUCUGGUCGUCAAAUAGCGGUGCCACGCCGGGCCUGACGUGCUCCGUUGCAAUCAGGGAGUCGAGUUUCACAAGGAAGACUGGCCGAGCAUCGCCGCCUUCAAGCCCCACAAGAGUUGUUCAGUAUCGUUGGCACAGAGCAGAGGGCCUGGUACAAGAGUUUUCAUUGCAGUCAAGGAAGUCAAGAAUUUUAAGCAGGAGUUUAGACUCAAACAGUUAACGGCAGGAAGAACGCCUGAAAUUCCCUUCAAGUUGCGGGGGGACAAUGGGCAACCUUCAACACUUGCGGAGGCACAAGAGUUGUGGGCAGUUUCGCCAGGAAGAGUUUGUUCUGCACUCAAGUUGACACAAGGACUCAAGAAUGAGCAAGAGUUCUCUAGUCUGGGAAGAAUGUAGCAAGUCCCUCUUCUGUACUCAACAACCACCACCACCACCAUUCAGGCUUGGGGUAAGCUUUGUACAUUCCAUUACUUCAGUAAUAAGGAAAAGAAGUGCCAUGUCUAUCCUGUUGUGUGUUUAUUAACUUGUCAUACACUAAAACAAUAAAAAUUCAAUAUAC
Molecule: long non-coding RNA, 1337 nt
Organism: Scylla paramamosain (green mud crab)
Lineage: Eukaryota; Metazoa; Arthropoda; Malacostraca; Decapoda; Portunidae
Exons: 2
Source: RefSeq, a predicted model, not a curated record